Molecule: ribosomal RNA, 460 nt
Filed under: uncultured bacterium
Lineage: Bacteria
Description: partial 16S ribosomal RNA
Rfam family: Bacterial small subunit ribosomal RNA
Source: RNAcentral
CCUACGGGGGGCAGCAGUGAGGAAUAUUGGUCAAUGGACGAGAGUCUGAACCAGCCAAGUAGCGUGAAGGAUGACUGCCCUAUGGGUUGUAAACUUCUUUUAUAUGGGAAUAAAAUGUUCCACGUGUGGGAUUUUGUAUGUACCAUAUGAAUAAGGAACGGCUAACUCCGUGCCAGCAGCCGCGAUAAUACGGAGGAUCCGAGCGUUAUCCGGAUUUAUUGGGUUUAAAGGGAGCGUAGGUGGAUUGUUAAGUCAGUUGUGAAAGUUUGCGGCUCAACCGUAAAAUUGCAGUUGAAACUGGCAGUCUUGAGUACAGUAGAGGUGGGCGGAAUUCGUGGUGUAGCGGUGAAAUGCUUAGAUAUCACGAAGAACUCCGAUUGCGAAGGCAGUUCACUGGACUGCAACUGACACUGAGGCUCGAAAGUGUGGGUAUCAAACAGGAUUAGAUACCCCUGUAGUC